This 328-nucleotide long non-coding RNA is filed under the name Athene cunicularia (burrowing owl). RNAcentral's name for it is "lncRNA (ENSACUG00000012463.1)". Lineage: Eukaryota; Metazoa; Chordata; Aves; Strigiformes; Strigidae. The record is from RNAcentral.
AUGACAGUAAUGACAUCACUUAUUUUGCAAAACUUCUCUGUUAAUUUUCAGAGAAGGAAGAAAGGAAAAGCUAAGGGGAAAUCAUACCAUCUAGCCUUAGAUAGUUCCCAUUAUUCUCAGCUGAAAGGCAUAGGCAAUACAUGUGACCAUGCUCAGGCACUGUGCCGAGAAGAAGAUGGCUUGCCCUGGAUAGCCGUGCUCCUCUUCUUCCAUAACAGAGAAAUCCAGGGCAACGGCUCCAGCUCAGGCUUUUGCCUUUGUGACACCUGGGCUGAUGUCUCCCAUCCAACUUCAGUGUGAACAAGGCUUAAUACUCCUGAUGUGUUUG